CACGAAACGAGGCUGCGUCCGCCGGCCGUGGAGCUGUCAGAGAGCUCCAAACCGCCGCGGCCGGCCGCCGAGUCCGCAUGCGCAGGCCGCGAAGGCCUUUUUGGGUCGGUCCCCGCGCGCUAGGACAGCCUAGAGGAGGAUUUCUGCCAGGCGGCGUCUUCCGGUGUGCUGUUCCGAGAGGCGAGCGAGGCCGCCGUGGCCGAAUGAGGAGGCCAAAGCUGGUCCCAGGAAGGCUGAGGGGAGCUUUAAAGCGCCUAGAAGGGAGGUGUCGGAAAGGACCGGGGAGCACGACGAGUCACAGAGCCUGCUACCCCGCGCUGCGCGUCUGGGAACAAACACGGGCUGAACCGGAGAGUGCGCGGGAAACGGUCGGGAGAAGCUGGGCUGGGUGAAGUAGGAGGAGCUGAUGGAGCCCGAAGCGCUGCAGGGCCUACUAGAGAGAAGGGCUUUAGUGACCCGUGGCAGUCACCUGGAUUGAGGACUUGAUUGUAGGAACUACAGCACCCGUCUGCUACCACAAGGAGGCUCCGCCAUCUACCACCCCUGACUGGAAUUUUCAACCUGUUGGCGAUCUUAAAUUAAAGUCAUCAAAACUUGCCCAGAAACAGCAAUCACCUGAAUGAGAAGCAGACAACAUUUGACGUAGACUGCGAAUCCCAAGACACAGGACCAGCACUGUUCACAAUAGCCAAGAUAUGGAAACAAUCCAAGUGCCCAUCGACUGAUGAUUGGAUAAAGAAGAUGUGGUGUAUAUAUACAAUGUGAUACUACUCAGCCAUAAAAAAGAUAAAUUCAUCCCAUUUGCAACAAUAUGGAAGGACCUGGAGGGAAUUAUGCUAAGUGAAAUAAGCCAGACUGAGAAAGACAACCUCCAGAUGAUUUCACUCAUGUGUGGAAUAUGAACAAACACAAGGACAAAGAAAAC
This 925-nucleotide long non-coding RNA is filed under the name Equus asinus (donkey). RNAcentral describes it as "lncRNA (ENSEASG00005029700.1)". Lineage: Eukaryota; Metazoa; Chordata; Mammalia; Perissodactyla; Equidae. The record is from RNAcentral.